CAGUUCAAAGAUCCUUCCAAGCAAUCCCCUGACAUAUGCUUCUCGUUGCUGGUCAUACAGUAGCCACUGCUGAUUUUUCUCAAGAGCCUUCAUAAAAAGAAACAGAAGAACAACAAAAAAGUCUCUGAGAAGCUGGGGAGAAGCCAGAGACCUCGAUGCUUCCCUGGGAUAACAGGAAGACUGUAAUCAUCUGGGAAAUCGUGCAGACCUGUCUACAAGCACAAGGAUAAACUGCCUGAUUUUCUGAGCCUGAUCCCCACUACAGUGAGUAUGACUUAUGAGUAGGAGACUUCUUGAGACCCAUCUAAAACUGGAGAGCAGUUAUGCAGUCAUGUUUCUCCCACUCUGACAUGGAUCUUCUCUGCAGGAUACAAGGUGGUUAUGAAAUUGUGUAGAUAUAAGUCAGAGGGAACUUCAAUGAGGAAAAAAUAAAGUAGAUUACUACCCAAAUCCAAACUACAUUUUUUCCAACAUUUUCCUAUGGAUCUUGGAACAUGAUUUACAACAGAAUUUAUAGCUAAAAAAUACAGAACUUUGAAUACAAUUAUUAAACUUAAACACUUCAUAAUAAAAAUAAGAUUUAGAGACACUGAACUUGUUUCUAUGAACAUCAGAGUCCUGCCUUAGUAAAAACUUUCUCAAAAUUGUGUCAUAAAACCGUUGUUUCCAUUUCAGAUCUAGUAUGCCACCUAGCAGUUUCAAGCAACAUUGCUAGACUUGUUUUCAAGUUCUCCAAGACAUCCAGUAAAACAUCAUUGUCCUCUGUUGAUAAAUCAGUUAAAAUCUUAAAAGAAAACUAUGGUUUUAAACUAAUACAUAUUUUGGUGGUUUAUUGACAAAAAUAUAAUGAAAACCUGUUGACUUAAUACACAUUUUAACACCUCUAAUGAAGUUCAAAAUUUAAAAUAAAUAUGUUGCAUUUAAAGUGGCAUUUCUCAAUAAACUGCAUUAUUAGAA
Molecule: non-coding RNA, 957 nt
Organism: Taeniopygia guttata (zebra finch)
Lineage: Eukaryota; Metazoa; Chordata; Aves; Passeriformes; Estrildidae
Source: RefSeq, a predicted model, not a curated record